GAACUCUACUAGUAACUUAAUAUGUUAUCAUUUUGUCUAAUUAGCAGGGAAUAGGAAGAGUUGAAUAAUGUCUUUGUUUAUGUAAUUUGGCUAUAAAGUAAAGCAAAAUUCUGCCGGGUGAAUGCAAUUUCCUAUUGACUUUCACAUCGCAUUGGACACCCUCCUUGUGGCCAUGGCUGCUCAGGUGAUCUCUCUUUCCUGGAAGUUUCACUUUUCACACAGGCAAUUAUCAUAGCAAAUUUGUGUCAUCUCAGUCAUAAUCAGGCCUAUUUGAAGGGAUGUUGUCAUUAACAGUUUAGUUCCAAAUACAUAUUUUCCCCUAAGUAGGUUGGAACUAACAUAGUGUUGUUGUUUCCAGAGCCAAAGACAAGAAGGCCACAUUUGUGUUUUAAGUCUUAGGAUCCUAAUUUCUUAAUUCCAUACAUUGGAUCCUUGCUGUCUGAGUUUCCACAGGGCCUAGGGAAGAGAUAGGACCCAAGCCGUCAUCAGGCUGUCCUUGCAGGCUUCUUGCAGAGUCGCUGGAAUACUUGAUUGUUUUUCAGUAUUUCAGCAGCUUCCUCUAUGAGGAUGUGUUCACCUCACCCACAGAAGCCCUUUUCAAAUGUUACUGAGAAGACUGAUAAGAAGAAGAAGCAUCCACUGAUGAGUUCUCGGAAAGAAAGCAUCCGAUUUAACUACAGGGCAAGAGCGCUGAGUCCCACAGGCCCGGCUGACAGCGAGGGAGCCAGGCGGCACCCGCUCUUCCCAGAGUGGUGCAGGAAAGAGGCGACCACAUGGUUGGUAUCAUCAUUUCUGAACUUUUUAAGGUUGAUAGAGGAGAACGUCACCAGAGACGAUAAUUCAGUUUGGAAUGAAUACGUUUUCAGUGCAGUAUUCACUACCUGCUGGUUUGUGUUUUCAAUCCUAAAGUCCAUAUUCACAUUUUACCAUGUGGACAAGAUACAGCACAAGCUAGGUGAAGAUCCUACUGUAUGCAAAUAAUAAAGUUUCUGGCCAAAUUCACUUUUUGAAAAGAGAAAGAAAGAUUAAAACUCUUUCCAGCAUCUCUAAGCUGCGGCUUAUGGCCUUGUAAAGAGCACUGGUGACAGAGAGCAAAGCCAGACCACAGCCGAGGCCGCCUUCCCUGCUCCUGCUGCACGCUCUGCAGAGCCGCUGGUCGCUGGUUUUAAUGUUUCAGAAUGUUCACUGCAUGUCGUCUGAGGCUCACCAUAGUCACCGCAACUCCAGUUAGGGGGUGCUCGAUGGCUUGGCAUGUGACCACACUCAGAGCUGCCCAAGAAAGCGGACCUGGAAGGACCAGCCAGUCCCUGAGCCCAUGCGUGUCCCUGACGCGCCACAGUGUUCUUCACGGCUCCUUUACUUUCGGGAGCAGUACCCUCUCCCGUCCUGUGGUGCUGGCCUUGGCCGUGUAACACCAAUGAGGUAUCAGCAGGUGUGACAGGAGCAGGUACUCAUCUUAGACGUCUAUAAAGAUCACGUGUCUGUGUGAACACAGGACAAGCACAGUUCUCCGGUGUUGAUGGGGAUAUAAAAUUUUACCUUGCCUUCUUUGACCACAGUGUGAAAUUUCAAAGUAUAAACAUGAUCGAAAAAAGAGUGUCUUCAAAAACAGAGAAACAACAGCAUUUCAUUUUCCCAGAACCUUUCCAGGCUCAGUCAGACGGCUGCCCAGCAGCCACUAGAAACAACACCCCAUUCCCCACACCACCCCCGCCUGUAAGUAAGGGGCACCAUCAACGCUGAGAAAGAAAUUGCCACAGUAACAAAACUUAUGGGAGUGGAUAACUUCUCACAGAACUUGCCAAUCAGCCACAGACGCAGAUCUGCCUUCCUUCUCCCUCACUCCACCCUUAGCUCAGGAGAACAGCCUAAACCCUCAGGAGAAGCUGCCUUUCAGCCGAAGAAGAAGGCUCCACACGACACGGCCGUGUUGGAGUAUUUUGCUUGUGCUUCCUUUCCGUCUUCUUUACUACGCAGAUGUGUGUGUGUGUAAGUGUGUGUUGUGUUGCUUUGCUUUUUCUCUUUGCUCAGGGUUCAGAAGAGUUAUGAUUUCAACUGAAGACAUCACACGAAUGUGGCUAAAAAAGCAAACAAUACAGAAAUGUAUGAAAUAAAAUCAAAUGUCUCCGUCUCCACACCCUCACCGUUCCCCAAUUCUCUCGGACUUCCUAAGAACAGAAAUUCUGUGAGGAGAGGAGAGUGUGUGUACAGGGGGAGGUGGGGGGUCGGAGGGAGAGAAAGAGGCUUGAUAUUGUCUUAUUUAUAAUUUAAAAAAAUAUAUUGCACACAUACACACUCCUCCCUUCAUCUCCCCUCCACCCAAAAAAAGAAAAAAUGGAACAAAACAAACAAGAAAACCAAACUUCUGCUGUUCGGAAGUCUAAGAGAAUUGCUGGUUAAAGGUCUUUCAGAUUAAGCUCGUUCCAAAGACAUUUCCAGUGUAACCAAACAAUGAGAAGCAUUGGUGUCCAGCCAGCCGCAGCCCCUGCCGCCUCCGGUUUAGAGCAAUUUCAUGAUGAUUAACUCAAAGAGAAGACAGAGAUGGGUUCACGGAAUAAGAAAACAAACAACUCAAAAUUCCCCUCUAUUUAUUUAUAUUUAAACUAUCUUAUUUUUAUCCAUUAUUUUAGAUAAUAAAUUUAUGUGCUUUUAGGAUGAUUUUCUUUGGUAGGGAAAAAUCUCUUAGGCCUUGCAUUUUCUCCUUAAUUAUAAAGGGUUGUGGAAUGUUUUCUGAGAACAGAAAUCUUUCCUCAAGGAAUUAUUUUUCCUAGAAUGUUAGGAGGGUCUCUAGGUAAGCAAUGAUGUCAGUGCAAAUGUUUUACUUCUCUCCUCUUCCAUCCAAGUUGGCUUAAUAUGUUUUAGUUCUAUUACGUGACUAUUUUUAGAACAGAUUGGAAAAUUUGCUCACCAAGAGAACAAUGAUUAACUAAAUCUGUAAAGUGCCAUUUCACUAUCAAUAAAAAGAAAAUCUAAACCCACAACUAAUGGCCCCGAGUUUCCUGCUUGCGUAGAGGAGUCUCUUUAGACCAAAGUGUUAUUUUUGAAAUCUUUAGGUUUUUUUCUUCCUUUCCCCACGUCAUUCUACCUUUUAAAAAACUUAUCCACUCUAUUAAUAAUAAAGAAAUAUACUCCCAAUCUUCACCCUCUUUUUAGCUACACACUUGAGUCUCAUGGUCAGGUUUUCCUCCGAGCACCUCUUCCAGAUUUGCCGUGAGACAGUGUAGAGCAUUGGUUAGGAGUGUGGGCUCUGGAAACAGCCUGUCCUGACUCCAGACCUGACGAGCUAUCUGGCUUAGAUUAAUUUUCCUAAUCUCUCUAUUCCUCAGUUUUCUUAACUGUAAAAUGGGGGGUAAAAUUUACAUUAUAAUGUAAAUUUGGUAAGGUUGUUAUAAAGAUUGAAGGAGAAAAUAUAAGUGAAGCCCUUAAUAUACUUCUAUCCCACAAUAAGCUUCAGUGGAGGGGAGUUUAAAAAAUAAGAUAUACAGAACAAAAACAUGUUAACUUUCAAAAAAUCCCGAAAGUAAUAAAAAAAAGAAAAGAAAAAGAAAAAAAUGCCAAAC
Equus caballus (horse) is the source of this 3560-nucleotide long non-coding RNA. The record is from Ensembl. NCBI's taxonomy places the organism in Eukaryota, Metazoa, Chordata, Mammalia, Perissodactyla, Equidae.